RNAcentral lists this long non-coding RNA (1260 nucleotides) under Notechis scutatus (mainland tiger snake). RNAcentral's name for it is "lncRNA (ENSNSUG00000003497.1)". Lineage: Eukaryota; Metazoa; Chordata; Lepidosauria; Squamata; Elapidae. The record is from RNAcentral.
CGCUGCGGUCUCUCUCCCUCUCUCUCCACCCCCCCUCCCCUCCCCGGCUCAGCGGCGGUGGGAAUCGUAGCAGCAGCAGCACCGUUCCCGCCGCCCUCGUGGGCCGCGAGCGCCCCCCCUCGCUGUUGCCUGCUUGCUCUCCCGCCGCCCUUCUCUCUGGGGAACGCGGCGGAGACGCUCGAGCGAGUCGUCGGCGGGCGCCCACGGAGGGAGCUGCCGAGCGAGAGAGGGGCGGGAAAGGCGAGAGGAAGGAAGGGGGAAGUGUGGAGAGGAGGAGCCGGGCGUGCGAAGGAGAGAAAGACUUGAGAAGCGAGCGGAGGCAAGGGAAAGAAAGAAAGGAAGGAAGAAAGAAAGAAAGAAAGAAAAGGAGGAAAGCGGGGAAAAGCUCAAGGAAGCGCCGCUUUUUAACCCACCCACCCCCACCGUGUGCGGCGGCUCAAGGAGCAGCGACGGCGGCGCUAACGGGGGGCUGCGGCAGGCGCUGCUGCUGCUGCUACUACGGCAUCCGGGGCCCGGCCUACGAAGCGGACGCAGGAGAAGCCGGAGGUGGUGGGGGGUGGUGAGAGGGAUCGGCCUCCCGCUUCGGAAGAACCAAGCCAGGCUGCUGCGCAGGCACUGCGGCCCCGUUGUUGCUCUUAGCCGCCGCCGCCGCCGCCCCCUCGAGAGGGCAGGAAGUGACUCUAAAGCCGGGACUGGGUGGUGUGUGUGUGUGAAGCACCUGAAACCGCGUAUUCGUUGGGGCGGAAAGAGGGCGAAGACGCCGAGACCCACCGAAGACCGCCUUUCCCUCCCUUGGAAAAGUGAAACGGCGGGGAGGGAAAGAGGGGAAAACAAGUGUCCCCCCCCCUCCCCUCCAGGCCCGCUUCUCUCUGGCCUCCUUUCGGUCGUGUCCCGUGGCCCUCGCCGAGGUUGGCCUUUCCCUCCUCGGCUUCUCUCCUCUUCUUUUGAACUCGAGAAAACUUGGUUUGGAUCUAAAGCGUCGCGGAGUGGCGAAAGGGAUCCCGCUUGUAGAUGGAGGAAACCUGGACGGCCGAAGUGUAAGAUAUAUGGAAGCACAAUCCAGAAAAAGAAAAAGCAGAAAACAAAAAUAAACAGAAAAGAGACUUAACAAGCUACGUAAAACAGUGUAAAAAUUUCAAAGUAACAUAAAGUUAGUGCUGUAUGUAAAAGUGAUCAAAACCAUUAUUAAAAUAGGUGAUGAUUUAAUAAUUAACAAAGCUAAGCAAUAUAAUAGCAAUAACACUUAGACUUAUAUACCGC